RNAcentral lists this ribosomal RNA (189 nucleotides) under uncultured bacterium. RNAcentral's name for it is "partial 16S ribosomal RNA". It matches the Rfam family "Bacterial small subunit ribosomal RNA", at positions 344 to 525 of the family's 1533-position model. The record is from RNAcentral.
GGAGGCAGCAGUGGGGAAUCUUCCACAAUGGGCGACAGCCUGAUGGAGCAACGCCGCGUGAGUGAAGAAGGUCUUAGGAUUGUAAAGCUCUGUCCUUAGGGAAGAACCGUGGGUAUAGAAAAUGAUACCCACCUGACGGUACCUUUGGAGGAAGCACUGGCUAACUACGUGCCAGCAGCCGCGGUAAUA